Molecule: ribosomal RNA, 574 nt
Filed under: Rhodotorula graminis
Lineage: Eukaryota; Fungi; Basidiomycota; Microbotryomycetes; Sporidiobolales; Sporidiobolaceae
Also listed under: 1 other name
Description: eukaryotic LSU rRNA
Rfam family: Eukaryotic large subunit ribosomal RNA
Source: RNAcentral
AAACUAACAAGGAUUCCCCUAGUAGCGGCGAGCGAAGCGGGAAGAGCUCAAAUUUAUAAUCUGGCACCUUCGGUGUCCGAGUUGUAAUCUCUAGAAGUGUUUUCCGCGUUGGACCGCACACAAGUCUGUUGGAAUACAGCGGCAUAGUGGUGAAACCCCCGUAUAUGGUGCGGACGCCCAGCGCUUUGUGAUACACUUUCAAUGAGUCGAGUUGUUUGGGAAUGCAGCUCAAAUUGGGUGGUAAAUUCCAUCUAAAGCUAAAUAUUGGCGAGAGACCGAUAGCGAACAAGUACCGUGAGGGAAAGAUGAAAAGCACUUUGGAAAGAGAGUUAACAGUACGUGAAAUUGUUGGAAGGGAAACGCUUGAAGUCAGACUUGCUUGCCGGAGCUUGCUUCGGUUUGCAGGCCAGCAUCAGUUUUCCGGGGUGGAUAAUGACGGUUUGAAGGUAGCAGUCUCGGCUGUGUUAUAGCUUUCCGUUGGAUACAUCCUGGGGGACUGAGGAACGCAGCGUGCUUUUUGCGAAAGACUCGUCUUUUUCACGCUUAGGAUGCUGGUGGAAUGGCUUUAAACGAC